GCUGGGCGUGGUGGCGUGCGCCUGUAGUCCCAACUGCUCGGGAGGCAGAGGCAGGAGAAUUGCUUGAACCUGGGAGGCGGAGGUUGCAGUGAACCGAGAUCGCGCCACUGCAUUCCAGCCUGGGUGACAGAGCAAGACUCUGUCUCAA
Callithrix jacchus (white-tufted-ear marmoset) is the source of this 148-nucleotide unclassified non-coding RNA. It matches the Rfam family "Metazoan signal recognition particle RNA". Rfam says of the family: The signal recognition particle (SRP) is a universally conserved ribonucleoprotein. It is involved in the co-translational targeting of proteins to membranes. NCBI's taxonomy places the organism in Eukaryota, Metazoa, Chordata, Mammalia, Primates, Cebidae. The record is from Ensembl.